AUGAAGCGAUACGCACAUUCUCUACCGGGCAUCGUCUCGCAAGAUGAUCUCAUCAGGCGCGGCACCUUAGUCGGAGUAUCGGCGCUGCGCACAGCUUGCCGCUUCCAGUCCUCCAUUGGAGAGCAGCGCUCCGUCGCCCGGAUGAGCAAGUCCGCCUACCGUCACCCGCUCGCACCCAAGGAUCCGUCGCAUCGCAACGUCACGAUACCGAUACGAGCGAGCCGGGCCGCCGCUUCUGCGUCUUCCUCAUCGGCCUCCGCCGCCCUUUCGGCAGAGGAUCUCAAGAGGCAGGCCCAGAAGGCGCUGCUACUUCAAAUGCAGCAGGAGGUGCUCUGGGAGGGAACAGUGAUCGACGACGUGCAUCACGCGUUGGUACAGCACUUUGUGAAGCUCAGCACUAACGAGAAGUACCGGCAAGCACGGCAGAUGCUCGUCAUCGGUGGACGCGCUAUGAUCGAGGAGCUGUGCCGCGCCGGGCACCGGCCACGCCACCUGAUGGUAGAGUGCGGUAAGCGGAUCCCGGAGUUUCUCCGGGACCGCCGGAAAACGGACGUCGUACUUGUCGACAGGUCUGUCUCGGCUGCCGUCACGCCGGGCUCAGACGGCUACGUUGGUGACUUUGAGAUCCCAACGCCGCCGAUGAAGGAGCAGCUCAUAGCGAAUCACCAGCGGCUGAACCGUGUGCUUGUCCUCGACAACGUCGAGGACCCUGGUGUGCUCGGCACCCUCCUCCGCACUGCCUCGGGGUAUCAAUACGACGCGAUCAUCGCGACAAAUCACUGCGCUGACCUGUACGACCACCGCGUCGUUCGCGCUGCCCGCGGGGCGCACUUUCAAACCUCCGUCCCAAUCUACACGUUGAAGGAGGAGGAUGGCGAUGACGUGUAUGGCUUGCUGAAUCACAUUGUCGAGCGCAACAACCUUCUGCCGCUCUGCUACACCACACAGGCAGACGCUGCCGACGUGGAUGGCGGGACUGCGGGAACGCGGACAGGGUUUGUCUCCUCACCGGAGGCGCCUGUAGGACGCGUCUUUCGGUCUAGCGUGGUGGGGGCGGCACCCGUGCCUCUUCCGGCACCGCGGCAGUCCGACUCCUCCUACGCGGCAUCGUCGUUGCGCGGACUCGCCGGCGUCUCGCAGGCGAGAGAGGAGCUGCUUUCGGACUUCUGCCUCGACCGUUUCACAGGCGCCUCCAGCGCUGAGGACGAUGCGCAAAGCGGCUACAUUCUCUUUGCCGGCCCGAACCACAAGCGGAACAUGCUUCGUCGUCUGGAAAGGAAAUUGUCGCGGAGAAGCACGCGGCUUCUUCUCGACAGCCUCCCGUCCCCGAGCGAGGCGCCGUCGGAUCUGCUCAUCGCGAUGUCAGUCGUGCUCUAUACCCUCCGCCCGCGGGGCAACUGGGAUUACCUGCCGGUGGACACGAAGCGGGAGCACUCCACGUUGGACUUGCAGGCGAAACACGCCUCAGUGGACAUUGGCGUCAACCGACUGCGAGUCAGCGCUGAUGACAUCAACCUCGAUGAGGCGGAGCAGCAAGAUCGUGCGCACGAGGCAAAUGAGCUCAUGCGCUGGCGGCGGCUCGCACGUCGCCGCGGCAGCGACCACGACCAUUGGAUGGUAGCGGAGCAGCGACGGGUGCAGGCAAUGGUGAGGCGCGAGCGGCAGCGUCGUGUGGCGCCCUGGAUGCCAUUACGUGACGCCAAGACAAAGCCGAUGCCGGACUGGGUACCGAACAUUAUCGACGAAUACCGCCAGUCUCUUGAUCGCGACGCGCUGACGCACGAGCGCGACAUCAGCACCAGCUAUCAACGGCCACCGAGGUGA
RNAcentral lists this ribosomal RNA (1824 nucleotides) under Leishmania infantum. RNAcentral describes it as "SpoU_rRNA_Methylase_family_-_putative". Lineage: Eukaryota; Euglenozoa; Kinetoplastea; Trypanosomatida; Trypanosomatidae. The record is from RNAcentral.